ACAGUACAAACUGAACAGACCGGGACAGAACAGGAAUGUCAUGGAGUCGGGUCACACAAGUGACAGUGGUAUUUUUCAUCCACGGGACAGU
RNAcentral lists this non-coding RNA (91 nucleotides) under uncultured Lachnospira sp. RNAcentral's name for it is "NiCo riboswitch". It matches the Rfam family "NiCo (Nickel/Cobalt) riboswitch aptamer". The record is from RNAcentral. Lineage: Bacteria; Bacillati; Bacillota; Clostridia; Lachnospirales; Lachnospiraceae.